GUGGCGGCAGCUGGUGUUGGGGCUGAGGGCUUCCAGGCCAGGCUGGGAAAGGUCAGGGAAGGGAAGGAGUCAGGGUUCAGCCCUGUACCCCGACCCUCUGGGGCCUUUGUCAGUGGCCACAGCAGCCCAACACUCUCACCCCUCACCUGGCCUGACUGGAGAAGGCCCUGGGCCUGCCGGUUACCAUCCCACAUUGCCCCCACAGGGCUCUCAGUGUAGCAAGGGCAGGGAGAAGGCCCAGGCUGGAAGGCCCACUCCUCAUUCUCCCUGCCCCACCCUGCCAUGCCCAUCUUGAUGGUCACCAUGGCCUGCACCAGGCCUCCGGCGGAGAAGCUGGGCACCACGUACUUCAUGUCAAAGUCGCGAGAGGCCGCGUAGGGGGUGCGCGGGCACUGCCAGUCCUCGCCCGCCGCGAGCUUGGCAGGCAACAGCAGCAGCAACAGGAAGGACUGAGGCAGCGGCGGGAGGAGCUCCAUCGAGGCGAGCUGGGACCCUAGGGGAUCCCUACGGGCCUGGGCCUGGACCUGGGCGUGGGCCUGGCUGGGGGCCCGACUCGAGGUCUGGACUGGGCCAACUUUAAGCAGCGGUCCCGACAGCCCCAAGAUAGCGGACCCCCGCCCCAGGUUCCUGUGAAACCCAAAUCCCUUCCCGGCCCUCGGGUCUGAGCACCUGACGCCUGCAGACGCACGACAGCAACGCCCCAGCCGCCUCACCUGCCGCCCCAGCCGCCGCUGUACACUGGCGCUUAGCGCUCAGCCGACCCGAGGGCGCCGGGCUGGGCGGGCGGAGUCGGGCUGUGGGGGCGGGGCCGCGAGGGAGGCGUGGCCUAGCCCAGGCCCUCCGCCCAUCCGACUCUUCCGGCCCUUGGAAGCCUGGCUCCUGUACCUUCACCUGGCGUCUUGGCGCCUUUUUCUCAGCGGCCUGUGGGUGGAUGUGCAUGGUGUGGCCUGGAGAGAGGAGCACUCUUUCCCUUUUCUCCUUUUGCCACCUAAAUGGCACCUCCUCCAGGAAGCCUUUUUGAUCCAGACUUUGCCAGUCCCCUCUCCUGGGUCUCACAGACCCAGUGCUACACUCACCCCAGCACAGUUUACUCUGGAUACUUCACUUCCUCCAUCCCCAGUGCAGGACACCCCCUCCUUCCAGCCUGGAGCUCCAUGAGCACCUGAAGACUGAAAGAGGAAAUGGAACUGGGGGUGGCCACACCCAGUGCAGGGUUGAUACUGUGCCCUGAGGUGACAUAAAAGACACUCCUUUUCCAAAGCAGAAUUGGCCAGGAAAUGAAUAAACACCCGGAGAAAACCGUGGCGUGGUUCCUGCAUUCCACAGUCAACACAUCUAAAGAUAGGCAAGGCAAAACUAAAAUGAAACAUUCUCAGCCUGGCGCACAGACAGGGGUUCUGGUGACCCAAAUCCCACCUCCAGACUUUCAGAGGGAUCUCUGGUGGUUGGGAGAAGACUUCACAAGCCCUCUUAGAUCACCCCACCCACCCCUUUUUGGGGGUGGGGUUGCAGCAACCAUCCGUUAGUUCUCCGCUGCCACCGUGUGGCCGCGCUAAUGGCUGUCCCCAGGCUGAGGUCCCCUGUAAGGCAGCCUUGGUUCUCAACAGCGGGGGUACACAGGAGCACCCCUUCCCCCUCUCGCCAUCUGCCGCCUCUAUAGGAGGGGGCAGUCAAGGUGUGUGGGGGAGGUCAGCUAAUGGGACUCUUAAGUGCCAAGUACAAGGGCACCCCCAAGCUAACAUAGCUGGCUAAGAACCUGCUCGACUGCCCUAGCACCUGACGCCUUGAAGGAAUGCUAGCCACUUUUCCCUCCUUGAGCUCUCAGUCCCCUCUGAACACUGUUCUAGAGAACUAGGUCUAACCUCUUUCUCUAAUCCCAAGAUCACCUUAGCAGUAGCAAGGGAGUCUCUCUAACUGCAGUAUGACCACAUCACACUGCAGGUUACCUGGAGUUUGAGAACCCCAGCCCUUGUGUGGACCACUCCAGCUUC
Molecule: long non-coding RNA, 1991 nt
Organism: Gorilla gorilla gorilla (western lowland gorilla)
Lineage: Eukaryota; Metazoa; Chordata; Mammalia; Primates; Hominidae
Exons: 3
Source: RefSeq, a predicted model, not a curated record